RNAcentral lists this long non-coding RNA (522 nucleotides) under Bos taurus (domestic cattle). Its description in RNAcentral is "long non-coding RNA NONBTAT023296". Lineage: Eukaryota; Metazoa; Chordata; Mammalia; Artiodactyla; Bovidae. The record is from RNAcentral.
CUUCUCUAUAUACCACACAAGGUGAAGUCUUAACUUCACACUGCUUCUUCUAAUGUCUCUUCAUCAUAGUCUUAUGACCUCUGUAUUAUCACACCACCUUAAAAAUAUGAUUUUUAUCUUCCCAGUUUCACCCAGAUGAGGGCUACAAAGAAAGCUAUCCUGGAGCAGGUCCCAGGUUCCCCGGAAGGCCUGCACAACAGGGAGGAGGCUCUCAGCCUGCAGUCACACUGACCGAGCCAGAGAAGGAGGAGGACUCACGCAUGCCGUGAGGGGCAGCUUCCCAACACGGAAGAGAAGACAUCCACGCCUCACUUUCCCACCCCAAGAUGACUAAACACCCCGCAUCUAGCAGAGACAGCUGGCCAUCUGUCUACAAUGUCUGGUUGUUGGAAUCUGGUAACUGCAUGGCACAGACUUUGAGGUUCACACUUCUGAUGGAAAAUGCCAGCACUAGCCACCAACACUCCACAGUUUCUGAUUCACAGGGCCACCCUAUGUCCAAGCUGGGCCUGGAAGCCACAG